GAUAAAGAAAGGGUUAAACCUCUGUGGGUAGGGCUACAACCUACCGCCUGCCUCGGCCGCUUUACC
RNAcentral lists this transfer RNA (66 nucleotides) under Anolis tigrinus. RNAcentral describes it as "tRNA-Tyr". The record is from RNAcentral. Lineage: Eukaryota; Metazoa; Chordata; Lepidosauria; Squamata; Anolidae.